UGGGGAAUAUUGGACAAUGGGGGCAACCCUGAUCCAGCAAUGCCGCGUGUGUGAAGAAGGCCUUCGGGUUGUAAAGCACUUUCACUCGCGAAGAUGAUGACGGUAGCGAGAGAAGAAGCCCCGGCUAACUCCGUGCCAGCAGCCGCGGUAAUACGGAGGGGGCUAGCGUUGUUCGGAAUUACUGGGCGUAAAGGGCGUGUAGGCGGCUUCGACAGUCAGGCGUGAAAGCCCCGGGCUUAACCUGGGAACUGCGCUUGAUACUUCGAGGCUAGAGUUCGGGAGAGGAGAGUGGAAUUCCCAGUGUAGAGGUGAAAUUCGUAGAUAUUGGGAAGAACACCAGUGGCGAAGGCGGCUCUCUGGACCGAUACUGACGCUGAGGCGCGAAAGCGUGGGGAGCAAACA
Molecule: ribosomal RNA, 402 nt
Filed under: uncultured bacterium
Lineage: Bacteria
Description: bacterial SSU rRNA
Rfam family: Bacterial small subunit ribosomal RNA
Source: RNAcentral